This 360-nucleotide long non-coding RNA is filed under the name Capsicum annuum. RNAcentral describes it as "long non-coding RNA (CANN_LNC002085)". Lineage: Eukaryota; Viridiplantae; Streptophyta; Magnoliopsida; Solanales; Solanaceae. The record is from RNAcentral.
CCGUCUGAAUCACCAAUUAUGGAACUAAGCGUAUUGCCUCUGAUCAAAGGUGACACAACACUACAAAACUAAUCUGAAUGAGUUGAAUGACUAAUAUUCCCAUGUUGGGGACACACUUUAGACCAGUGACUAAUUUCUUUAUAGUCAUAGCAAAUCCCUAAAGCCCUAACCUGGAAAGAAACACGAGAUGACACCAAUUGGAUGACCAAUUGAUGCACAGGACACUAGCUACUAAAAUGACCAUCCUCCCCAUAAUCAUAACACACCUCAGGAACUCUAGGCUGGCGAGAAAUAAAUGCUAACUCUAUCUGAACAAUAAACUCACGCUUGGAGCACUCUCAAGACUAAUGUCCCAUCUCG